CCUACGGGUGGCAGCAGUCGAGAAUCAUUCACAAUGGUGGAAACCCUGAUGGUGCGACGCCGCGUGGGGGAAUGAAGGACUUCGUAUUGUAAACCUCUGUUAUGUGGGAGCAAAUUAAAAAGAUAGUACCCCAAGAGGAAGAGACGGCUAACUCUGUGCCAAGAACCGCGGUAAAACAGCGGCCUCAAGCGUGGUUCGGAAUUCCUGGGCGUAAAGGGUGCGUAGGCGGUUUCGUGAGUCGUGUGUGAAAGGCGCGGGCUCAACCCGCGGACGGCACAUGAUACUGCGAGACUAGAGUAGGAGAGAGGGAACCGGAAUGCUCGGUGUAGCAGUGAAAUGCGUAGAUAUCGAGAAGAACACUCGUGGCGAAGGCGGGUUCCUGGACAUUAACUGACGCUGAGGCACGAAGGCCAGGGGAGCGAAAGGGAUUAGAUACCCUGGUAGUC
RNAcentral lists this ribosomal RNA (446 nucleotides) under uncultured bacterium. Its description in RNAcentral is "partial 16S ribosomal RNA". It matches the Rfam family "Bacterial small subunit ribosomal RNA", at positions 338 to 795 of the family's 1533-position model. The record is from RNAcentral.